This 759-nucleotide ribosomal RNA is filed under the name uncultured bacterium. RNAcentral describes it as "bacterial SSU rRNA". It matches the Rfam family "Bacterial small subunit ribosomal RNA", at positions 98 to 875 of the family's 1533-position model. The record is from RNAcentral.
GCGGACGGGUGAGUAACGCGUGGGUAACCUGCCUCAUACAGGGGGAUAACAGUUAGAAAUGACUGCUAAUACCGCAUAAGCACACAGUACCGCAUGGUACGGUGUGAAAAACUCCGGUGGUAUGAGAUGGACCCGCGUCUGAUUAGCUGGUUGGCGGGGUAACGGCCCACCAAGGCGACGAUCAGUAGCCGACCUGAGAGGGUGACCGGCCACAUUGGGACUGAGACACGGCCCAAACUCCUACGGGAGGCAGCAGUGGGGAAUAUUGCACAACGGGGGAAACCCUGAUGCAGCAACGCCGCGUGAGUGAAAAAGUAUUUCGGUAUGUAAAGCUCUAUCAGCAGGGAAGAAAGUGACGGUACCUGACUAAGAAGCCCCGGCUAACUACGUGCCAGCAGCCGCGGUAAUACGUAGGGGGCAAGCGUUAUCCGGAUUUACUGGGUGUAAAGGGAGCGUAGACGGCACAGCAAGUCUGAAGUGAAAUCCCCGGGCUCAACCCGGGAACUGCUUUGGAAACUGUUGGGCUGGAGUGCUGGAGAGGCAAGCGGAAUUCCUAGUGUAGCGGUGAAAUGCGUAGAUAUUGGGAGGAACACCAGUGGCGAAGGCGGCUUGCUGGACAGUAACUGACGUUGAGGCUCGAAAGCGUGGGGAGCAAACAGGAUUAGAUACCCUGGUAGUCCACGCCGUAAACGAUGCAUACUAGGUGUCGGGGAGCAAAGCUUUCCGGUGCCGCCGCAAACGCAGUAAGUAUGCCACCUG